Molecule: ribosomal RNA, 115 nt
Filed under: Altererythrobacter lutimaris
Lineage: Bacteria; Pseudomonadati; Pseudomonadota; Alphaproteobacteria; Sphingomonadales; Erythrobacteraceae
Also listed under: 1 other name
Source: RNAcentral
CUUGGUGACCUUAGCGUCUGUGACCCACCCGAUCCCAUCUCGAACUCGGCCGUGAAACCGGACAGCGCCGAUGGUACUAUGUCUUAAGGCAUGGAAGAGUAGGUCGUCGCCAGGC